This 501-nucleotide ribosomal RNA is filed under the name uncultured bacterium. RNAcentral describes it as "partial 16S ribosomal RNA". It matches the Rfam family "Bacterial small subunit ribosomal RNA", at positions 30 to 523 of the family's 1533-position model. The record is from RNAcentral.
AUUGAACGCUGGCGGCAGGCUUAACACAUGCAAGUCGAGCGGGGGAAGGUAGCUUGCUACCGGACCUAGCGGCGGACGGGUGAGUAAUGCUUAGGAAUCUGCCUAUUAGUGGGGGACAACAUCUCGAAAGGGAUGCUAAUACCGCAUACGUCCUACGGGCGAAAGCAGGGGAUCUUCGGACCCUGCGCUAAUAGAUGAGCCUAAGUCGGAUUAGCGAGUUGGUGGGGUAAAGGCCUACCAAGGCGACGAUCUGUAGCGGGUCUGAGAGGAUGCUCCGCCACACUGGGACUGAGACACGGCCCAGACUCCUACGGGAGGCAGCAGUGGGGAAUAUUGGACAAUGGGGGGAACCCUGAUCCAGCCAUGCCGCGUGUGUGAAGAAGGCCUUAUGGUUGUAAAGCACUUUAAGCGAGGAGGAGGCUACUUUAGUUAAUACCUGGAGAUAGUGGACGUUACUCGCAGAAUAAGCACCGGCUAACUCUGUGCCAGCCGCCGCCGUAA